UACGGAGGAUCCGAGCGUUAUCCGGAUUUAUUGGGUUUAAAGGGUGCGCAGGCGGGAGAUUAAGUCGGCGGUGAAAUUUUGCAGCUCAACUGUAAAAGUGCCUUCGAAACUGGUUUCCUUGAGUGUAGAUGAAGUAGGCGGAAUUUGUGGUGUAGCGGUGAAAUGCAUAGAUAUCACGAGGAACUCCGAUUGCGCAGGCAGCUUACUAAACUACUACUGACGCUCAGGCACGAAGGCGUGAGGAUCAAACAGGAUUAGAUACCCG
This 265-nucleotide ribosomal RNA is filed under the name uncultured prokaryote. RNAcentral's name for it is "partial 16S ribosomal RNA". It matches the Rfam family "Bacterial small subunit ribosomal RNA", at positions 524 to 788 of the family's 1533-position model. The record is from RNAcentral.